AUUGAACGCUGGCGGCAGGCCUAACACAUGCAAGUCGAGCGGAUGAAGGGAGCUUGCUCCUAGAUUCAGCGGCGGACGGGUGAGUAAUGCCUAGGAAUCUGCCUGGUAGUGGGGGAUAACGUCCGGAAACGGGCGCUAAUACCGCAUACGUCCUGAGGGAGAAAGUGGGGGAUCUUCGGACCUCACGCUAUCAGAUGAGCCUAGGUCGGAUUAGCUAGUUGGUGGGGUAAAGGCCUACCAAGGCGACGAUCCGUAACUGGUCUGAGAGGAUGAUCAGUCACACUGGAACUGAGACACGGUCCAGACUCCUACGGGAGGCAGCAGUGGGGAAUAUUGGACAAUGGGCGAAAGCCUGAUCCAGCCAUGCCGCGUGUGUGAAGAAGGUCUUCGGAUUGUAAAGCACUUUAAGUUGGGAGGAAGGGCAGUAAGUUAAUACCUUGCUGUUUUGACGUUACCAACAGAAUAAGCACCGGCUAACUUCGU
RNAcentral lists this ribosomal RNA (483 nucleotides) under uncultured bacterium. Its description in RNAcentral is "partial 16S ribosomal RNA". It matches the Rfam family "Bacterial small subunit ribosomal RNA", at positions 30 to 506 of the family's 1533-position model. The record is from RNAcentral.